Long non-coding RNA from Calidris pugnax (ruff), 437 nucleotides. RefSeq lists it as uncharacterized. The transcript has 3 exons. NCBI's taxonomy places the organism in Eukaryota, Metazoa, Chordata, Aves, Charadriiformes, Scolopacidae. The record is from RefSeq and is a predicted model, not a curated record.
AAAAAAGACAGCACCUCAUUGACUUGUUUGUAUUCUUUGUAUUUUUCAAAUAGCAUCUGAACCUAUUUAUUUGAAAAACUUAAAAAGGCGGUCACAAUUUUUUGAACAAGGUAAACCAAAGUGCUAACAUUUCAUGUACUUCCAUGAAAUUGUUCCUGCUGCACACUCUUUCUAACAAGUCUGGUGCUGGGUACUAUACCUCUUCAGAGUUGUUUGUUGCAGUUACAAGGAAGCAACAUAAUUAAUUUCCCUUCUUUCCCCAGGGUCAUCAGGUUAUUCUUACAAUUCAUGGGUCUACCUUUGUGGAGGCCCUGAGCCUGCAAUGCCUGAUCUCCCAGUUCCAUCCAUUAGUGCUCCUAGUCGUCGGGUUUGGGAUCAAGAGGAAGAACGAAAACGACAGGAAAAAUGGCAAAAGGAGCAGGAUCGUCUAUUGCAGG